AAUAAAGGCGUGCGACAGGUCUAAUACAUGCAAGUUGAAUGCGCUAUUACACAAAAGUGUGAGCGCAUAGCGAAAGGGUGCGUAACACAUAAGUAUUUACCCAUAUGAAUAGGCCAAAUCUAGUAUGAUGAAUACCUUGGAAAGCUUGUAAAGGUGCAUAUGGAUAAGCUUAUGUAGGAUUAGGUAGUUGGUGAGGGAAGGGCUCACCAAGCCGACGAUCCUUAGUCGGUCUUUACGGAUGAUCGGCCACACUGGGACUGAGACAAGGCCCAGACUUUUUUUGAAGGCAGCAGUAGAGAAUUUUGUACAAUGCGCGAAAGCGUGAUACAGCUAUGUCGCGUGGAAGUUGGAAGCCAUACGGCUAUACGCUUCCGCUCUUCUUAGGAGAAAACUGACACACUAAGAUCGAGAGCCCCGGCCAAUGCUCGUGCCAGCCGCCGCCGUAACAC
This 449-nucleotide ribosomal RNA is filed under the name uncultured bacterium. RNAcentral's name for it is "bacterial SSU rRNA". It matches the Rfam family "Bacterial small subunit ribosomal RNA", at positions 29 to 526 of the family's 1533-position model. The record is from RNAcentral.